GAUGAAGAACGCAGCAAAAUGCGAUAAGUAAUGUGAAUUGCAGAAUUCAGUGAAUCAUCGAAUCUUUGAACGCACAUUGCGCCCGCCAGUAUUCUGGCGGGCAUGCCAGUUCGAGCGUCAUUUCAACCCUCAAGCACAGCUUGGUGUUGGGACUCGCGUUAAUUCGCGUUCCCCAAAUUGAUUGGCGGUCACGUCGAGCUUCCAUAGCGUAGUAGUAAAACCCUCGUUACUGGUAAUCGUCGCGGCCACGCCGUUAAACCCCAACUUCUGAAUGUUGACCUCGGAUCAGGUAGGAAUACCCGCUGAACUUAAGCAUAUCAAUAAGCGAGGA
RNAcentral lists this unclassified non-coding RNA (331 nucleotides) under soil metagenome. Its description in RNAcentral is "partial contains 5.8S ribosomal RNA, internal transcribed spacer 2, and large subunit ribosomal RNA". The stretch from base 1 to 120 matches the Rfam family "5.8S ribosomal RNA", at positions 35 to 154 of the family's 154-position model. The record is from RNAcentral.